Molecule: ribosomal RNA, 488 nt
Filed under: uncultured bacterium
Lineage: Bacteria
Description: partial 16S ribosomal RNA
Rfam family: Bacterial small subunit ribosomal RNA
Source: RNAcentral
GACGAACGCUGGCGGCGUGCUUAACACAUGCAAGUCGAACGGAAAGGCCCUGCUUUUGUGGGGUGCUCGAGUGGCGAACGGGUGAGUAACACGUGAGUAACCUGCCCUUGACUUUGGGAUAACUUCAGGAAACUGGGGCUAAUACCGGAUAGGAGCUCCUGCUGCAUGGUGGGGGAUGGAAAGUUUCGGCGGUUGGGGAUGGACUCGAGGCGUAUCAGCUAGUUGGUAGGGUAGCGGCGUACCAAGGCUUUGAUGGGUAGCCGACCUGAGAGGGGGAUCGGCCACACUGGAACUGAGCCACGGUCCAGACUCCUACGGGAGGCAGCAGGAGGGAAUCUUCCGCAAUGGGCGAAAGCCUGACGGAGCAACGCCGCGUGAGUGAUGAAGGUCUUCGGAUCGUAAACCUCUGUGAUUAGGGAAGAACAUAUGUGUAAGUAACUGUGCACAUCUUGACGGUACCUAAUCAGAAAGCCACGGCUAACUACGUG